AUUUUGACCCGCGCUUCAAAAACGCGGGAUCGAUUUCAUAGUCCAUAAUUAUUUUUUAAAAAAUUCUAAUUUUGUAUAUAAUUAAUAGAUUUUAAAGUUUCAUGUACAUCAUUUUCUUAAGUUUUUUUAGGUGAGUAAUUUUGUGGACCGUGAGAAGAAUUCUUAAUAUGCACUAUGUUAGAGGUGGGCAUUUGGAUACAUGUUUCGGUCUAUUUGGAAUUUGGUUUAUUGAUAUAGAGAUUUUAUUUUUAUUCGGGUAUUUAUAAACUUUGAUUCAUAUUUGGUUUAGAUAUUUGUGAGUUUGGUUCGUGUACAAAUAUCCGUUUAAAUUAAGUACACAAAAUAAAAAAUCUAAAUAUAAUUUAAAAUCCUUAAAAUUCAAAAUAAAAAUAGUAUAUGAAAUAAAAUUUUGAAUAUUUAAAAUCCUUAACAUGAAAUUGGUUCAGUUUGGAUAUUAGAUGGGAAACCAGUAGGUAUUUAGUGUAUUUUCCGUGUUUAAAAUAUUUUGACUAUUUUAGAUAUUUAUUUUCUACUAUUUUUUAUAUUUUCAAUUAUUUUUUUGAAAAUUUCGAAUAUUUUUGAGUAUUUUAUAUAUUUUGAAUAC
Molecule: long non-coding RNA, 604 nt
Filed under: Brassica napus (rape)
Lineage: Eukaryota; Viridiplantae; Streptophyta; Magnoliopsida; Brassicales; Brassicaceae
Description: long non-coding RNA (BNAP_LNC005789)
Source: RNAcentral